RNAcentral lists this transfer RNA (87 nucleotides) under Candidatus Yonathbacteria bacterium. Its description in RNAcentral is "tRNA-Ser". It matches the Rfam family "tRNA". From Rfam's summary of the family: Transfer RNA (tRNA) molecules are approximately 80 nucleotides in length. The record is from RNAcentral. Lineage: Bacteria; Candidatus Yonathiibacteriota.
GGAGAGGUGGCUGAGUGGUCGAAGGCACCGCACUCGAAAUGCGGCAACGAGGUAACUCGUUCGAGGGUUCAAAUCCCUCCCUCUCCG